GGAGAAAAAACGCACAGAAGUUUGAGAGAAGAAGUUGUUGAGAGUCCUGAGACUGAGAAAGAACAUUUAUUCAUUUACUUAGAAGCCCUUAUCCUUUCUUCUCAUCCCACUUAUCCAUUAUGUAAAAAAGUUUGGAAACAAAUUUUUAUUUUCUCUCAACAACAUGGAUAAAUGAGGAUGGUGAGCAAGGACGUUUACCGGUGUUGAUUUUGAGCUUUAAAGGAAGUGAGCAGAAGGCCAGCGAUUGUAUUUUUGCAUAAACAAAUGCAAGAAGUGGUUACAACCUUUACUAGAAGUAAAGGAUUCUCUCAACUUUUAGUGCACAGAGAUGCUCUUGUACAAGGAAAAAGGGUGAUACAGGGCCCUUCAUAUUUGAUAUGGGUAUUCCAGUUUUGUGUUAGUUUCACAUUUGAUCCAGAGCUGGGGAUUCAAAUCAAACUUCCGUUACCUUCUUCUCUGCCAAAUACAAGAAUGUUAUGGCAGGUUUGGUUUUUGGUAAAAUCGGGCAGAGCUGUUCACAAAGAGAAGAUAUUGAUCCUAGCAGGAUAGGAAUUACUGGUAAAUCACUUUGAGUGGUUGAAAGAGGCAGAGGAAGACGAUUGAAGAGUGAUGUGUACACGAUAAAUUGUUCUACAGUGUAGAUUUUCUGGUAGCAGAUUGAGUGCAUGAAGAGUGAUGUGUACACGAUAAAUUGUUCUACAGUGUAGAUUUUCUGGUAGCAGAUUGAGUGCACAUGCAGCAGCUGACAAAACGUUUCCACCACAGCGUUGGACCGCGUGGCAUUCAUCUCAGAUCUCGCCCUGUUCCCCUCCUUCAGGUUGACCGUCAUCAAGUUUAGCUUCAUCUCCUGAAGGAAAAUGGUAGAUGCUCCCAUCUUUUCCCAUGCCAGCACCACCAUAUCCUCUGUCAGAACAAAGUAUCAGUGAGUGUAAAUUGAGCCACCAUAAGGACGAUACGAAUAUAGCUCAACUCAACAAAAACCUGCCAUAUCGAUUUACAAUGUUUAGAACUUCCAACAACAUCCUCAAUCAAGAGGAAGUUACCUAGUUAAAUGUUCAUUAAAGCCCAUGAAAAAUAUAUAAAAGAACAUGAUGAAGAGUCCCCUUAAAGGGGUAAACCCUAGGUUUUGUAUGUAAAAUAGAAAUAGAUGAUAUAAGAUAUUAUUCUCCCCCAAGAUGUAAAGACAGAUUGUUU
Molecule: long non-coding RNA, 1194 nt
Organism: Papaver somniferum (opium poppy)
Lineage: Eukaryota; Viridiplantae; Streptophyta; Magnoliopsida; Ranunculales; Papaveraceae
Exons: 4
Source: RefSeq, a predicted model, not a curated record